AUGCUGCUCUGCAACCUGCUGAAGGUGGUCAUAGCUUCGAUGUGGCUAGGAUCUGGUAUUGCCCAGGAGGUAACUCAAAUCCAAUCAACAAUCUUGGUGCAAGAGAAGGAGGCUGUGACACUGGGAUGUACAUAUGACACCAGUCAGAGUAGUUACAGUCUAUUCUGGUACAAGCAGCCCAGCAGUGCGGAGAUGAUCCUCAUUAUUCGCCAGGACUCCUAUAGCCAGAAAAAUGAAACAAAAGGUCGCUACUCACUGAAUUUCCAGAAGGCCAACAAAUUGAUAAACUUUGUCAUCUCAGCUUCACAACUGGGGGACUCAGCAAUAUAUUUCUGUGCACUGAGAGAACACACAGUGAGAGAACUGUUGAAAGAAGGUGUACAGAAACCCAAGGAGUUGGCUUGCAACAUCCACCUGCUAUUGGGACCAAGCAGGGAAUCACCAUCACAGGCAGGAAGUGGCUAG
Molecule: non-coding RNA, 465 nt
Organism: Otolemur garnettii (small-eared galago)
Lineage: Eukaryota; Metazoa; Chordata; Mammalia; Primates; Galagidae
Source: the annotation of a RefSeq genome assembly